CAAAAACCCACAGUGUUGCAGAAUAAUUUAAAAAUAACGGGAUUAUCGCUGCCCAGGCCUCUUCGGGUCCUUUUCAGCCAGAUUUUAAACUAGCUGGUGCUGGCUUCAGGAGAACAUGGUUUUCUGUCCUGGUGGAGCUGAGCAUUGAAAACUAACAUUGAGCAUUGAUGGACGGUGUAACUGUUUCCAUACUGCAGAUGUGCUCUUCAUCUGAUGAAAUAAAGAAAAGGAGAGGGCCCAUUCACACCAAAGCCUGAUUAUCAAGAAGGUUCUGGCAGGAUGACACAUACGACAGCUGCAGCAGCAAAACAUGAAUCCAAAGGCUUGGAAAGCAACAAUAAAGAGGAAAAAAUGCAAUACUAAGGAAAAGAAGACAUGAUAUUAGAAGCAGCAUGAAGAAAUGCAGCUUUAAGAGCUGGAGAGCUGCAGAGACGUCAUCUGUAGAGGCACCUAAAGAAAAUGGAGAAGAGUGCAGUAUGGUGUGUCCAUUCUCAAGUUGGCAUCAUGAAACACUGGAGAUGUCAAACAAUAAGACAACACUCAUUGUGUCAAUGACCGGCCAUUGAAAAGUCUGUGAGCUAUGGAAGGCAGGCAGGUUUUUUCCUCAGAGGAUCUCAUGGUCCGUUUUGUGGAACAAGAAGAGUUCCCUCAAAUGACAGCAUUCCUCGACAGACAGGCGUUGGAAGAGUGCCUGCCUAUCUAUUUUACUGGAUGGAUUGGAGAAUGGUCCCAUACUCAGCUGGGAGGCCCUUAAAGAAGAACAACACAGAUGAAUGUGCGUCCUGGCCAGAAAUUCCAGCCUGUUGUGGAUGCUGGAUGACGUGACACUGUAUGAACCCCGCAUGGCUUACAAUCUUACGCUGGCCACUUGCUUCUUGUCAGUCGGGGUAUUCCCACCCUCUUGUGGAUGCUGGACAAUAUUACGCCCGGGCAUGGAUGCAGACGUCAGUCAGAUGGAUUUCUUAUCACUUUAUGCAUAUAGAGAUAUACUCAUAAUAUCCACAAAAGAUAACAUGAGAAAUAGAUGCACACCAAAACUAUAAUUACACAAUUCUAAAAGGUCUGUUAUUGCAAACACCGAAACAAAAAUCAAUAAAAGUGAAAACUGGUAAUAACUGGGGUUAUCGCUGGCUUUUAUUU
Long non-coding RNA from Polypterus senegalus (gray bichir), 1140 nucleotides. RefSeq lists it as uncharacterized. Lineage: Eukaryota; Metazoa; Chordata; Cladistia; Polypteriformes; Polypteridae. The transcript is spliced from 7 exons. The record is from RefSeq and is a predicted model, not a curated record.